GUGGCGAGAGCGUCGGUGAGUGACGCCCCCCUUUCCCAAAGGGGGGCUGGGGGGGAUUUCUCCGCCGGGAGUUGCACGCCAACCUGGGCAAAUCCCCCCCGCCCCC
Molecule: transfer RNA, 106 nt
Filed under: Pseudomonadota bacterium
Lineage: Bacteria; Pseudomonadati; Pseudomonadota
Description: tRNA-Gly
Source: RNAcentral